RNAcentral lists this long non-coding RNA (2302 nucleotides) under Sus scrofa (pig). RNAcentral describes it as "lncRNA (ENSSSCG00025043372.1)". The record is from RNAcentral. Lineage: Eukaryota; Metazoa; Chordata; Mammalia; Artiodactyla; Suidae.
GGAGAGUAGAGGAAAGACAGGAGAUGGUUGUUGGCAAGGGCAGGGCGACUGUCCGGCCGAGGCCCAACGUGCUGGGCUGGGGGGUGGGCGGUGCCCACUUGAAGUUCAAGGUCAUAAACUUAACUGGAGCCAAUCCAAAUCCACUGCCCAAGCAAAAGCUUAUCUAAGAAAAAGAAAAAUAACUCGAAGCCUCCAAGACACAUAAAAUCAAGAAUGGACUGACAACGGUGAAGAAGGGUAGAGCUUUUCAGAAAGAUGACCCUCGAUUCAGGGCUUAGCCAUUCUUGUACAUGGAGCCAAGUUCAUUUUACCCGCAACUGACUUACGAGUGUCUCAUAACUCUGGACUCGUAACUGACACCACAAAAGCCCGUUCAAUGUCCAGUUGCUGGGAUGAGCCUAGUGGACAAAACGUCAAGCCAAUGGCAUGAGGACUGUGGUUUCAAUCAAGACCUGUCCCCCCAGAGCAGGGCUGCCCCAGCCCAUCCAUCUGGUAUCUCCGAGUCUCGGCAUCUUCUCUGAAAAUGAGAAUCAGAAGGUGUGUGAGCAAAGUUUGUUGUGUUAAUCAAAAAUAUGUUAAUUUUCUGCAUUUCAAUAACUUCAAGCUUAGCCUGAGAACCUUCCAAGCUGUAGAAAACCUCCUUGACUAAGAGUCCACUUGCACAAGGACCUCCGCCCUUCUGAACACAAACGAGCUGGAAUAGACCGUAAAGAAGGAGGGGGACCCUGGGGCCAGGAAGCUGGUCCUUCACAAGCAGGUCAGUGGUGGGGAUGCAGCUGGGGGCACAUGACACGAUGACAUUUCAUCUGGGUCUGAAAUACUCAGGCCCAGGCCCCCGAGAGUCCUGCAAACAGCGAAUCAGAAGGACUGCAGAGACUGAACAGGUGGUCCCUGAGCAGGUGGCUCUUGGCUGCUUGGAUGAGGGAGGGGAGAGGAGAGAGAAGAUGCUGGGGGCCACCCCAGGGGCCCUGCGCUGGAGACAGGUCCCGGGGCCCAGACUGUCUCACCCGAGAUGCAUCUUCCAUAACCUCCUUGGCAAGUCAGUCCUGAGCAUGAGCCUAGAGAAACCCCUUCACCAGGCCUGCUGUGGAGAAGGCCCUUCAAAGCCUCCCUCAGAAGAACGAGAAGCAUCCAAUGCUCCAUCAGUGGUGCCAUUACUAAUCAAAUUUAAAAGGAUUAAUGAGGGACCUCCCGUCAUGGCGCAGCGGACACGAAUCCGACUAGGAACCAUAAGGUUUUCGGUUCGAUCCCAGGCCCCGCUCAAUGGGUUAAGGAUCCAGCGUUGCCAUGAGCUGUGGUGUAGGUCGUGGACGCGGCUUGAAUCUGGCGUUACUGUGGCUGUGCCACAAGCUGACAGCUAUAGCUCCGAUAAGACCCCGAGUCUGGGAACCUCCACAUGCUGCAAGUGUGGCCCUAAAAAGACAAAAAGGCUAAAAUAAAAUAAAAAUAAAACAAAAUAAAAUAAAAAGUUUAAAAUAAAGUAGGAAAGCCUCUUGGAGGAAAGAAUGAAAGAUCUGUGUUAUAGUGACAAUGACAGAAAUGAAAAGCAUUUUGCCAAGAUUUUGCACCUGUGACAAGCCAGGCCAAGUCACAGACUUCGAAAAGAAUGGGCUCCUUUGGACGGGCGUGUCUGCACACCGAGGUCUAACCACUGGGGCAGUUCUACCCUAUUAGGUGAAGAAGAAACCCCCUCAUCUUGUUGUGGCUUGUGCCGCCCUGCAGGGCUGGGAUUGGGCAGAGAAAGCCUGUGUUUACGUGCGACUUUAAUUUGAUUUACUGUCCCUGACAAGCCCGCCUGAACCCAGCGCUCUGUCUCAGCAGGGUCCCUGCCUCGCCUCUCCUGCUCUGCAAGAACUCGAAAGCAGGAGCUGGCAGGUGGAUGCCGAGGGGGACUUCGCCUCCCUUCAUGCUUGCCCAGGGCAAGUGGAACCAAGCCCGACUGCUUCAGAACCUUUCCUGGGCACGGGCUAAAGGCGCUUGGUGUCACGGUGUCACUGGAGGUGGCCUGAGGGGCAGACAGAUUCACCAGCGAUGGCUGCAUCUUGGGAGCUCAGCUCUGUGAAGCGGCAGUGUCAGCCCCGUGCGAGCUCCCCGCCAUCUGGGGAGGGGACACUAUGCUUGGAAAGUCAGAAGACAGGAAAGCAUCUGCGCCCUCCUCCUCCCGAGGCCCUCAGUGUCCUGCCUCCUCUCUGAGGCUGUCUGUGUUCGAACCUGCCCUGGGCCCUGUCACAGGAACAAAAGAUGGAAUUUCGCAUUUCUACCUCCUCAUUUCCUAGAAUUUCAGCUGCCUUCAUGGUUCUCC